This 253-nucleotide ribosomal RNA is filed under the name uncultured bacterium. RNAcentral's name for it is "partial 16S ribosomal RNA". It matches the Rfam family "Bacterial small subunit ribosomal RNA", at positions 524 to 776 of the family's 1533-position model. The record is from RNAcentral.
UACAGAGGUCUCAAGCGUUGUUCGGAUUCAUUGGGCGUAAAGGGCGCGUAGGCUGCGGGGCAAGUCGGGUGUGAAAUCUCAGAGCUCAACUCUGAAACUGCACUCGAUACUGCCGUGCUUGAGGACUGGAGAGGAGACUGGAAUUUACGGUGUAGCGGUGAAAUGCGUAGAUAUCGUAAGGAAGACCAGUGGCGAAGGCGGGUCUCAGGACAGUUCCUGACGCUGAGGCACGAAGGUCAGGGGAGCAAACGGG